Podarcis lilfordi (Lilford's wall lizard) is the source of this 73-nucleotide non-coding RNA. NCBI's taxonomy places the organism in Eukaryota, Metazoa, Chordata, Lepidosauria, Squamata, Lacertidae. The record is from the annotation of a GenBank genome assembly.
GCCAUAGUUCAGUGGUAGAACAUCUGCCUUGCAUGCAUGCAGAAGGCCCCCUGUUCACUCCCCAGCAUCUCCA